CCUACGGGAGGCAGCAGUGAGGAAUAUUGGUCAAUGGACGAGAGUCUGAACCAGCCAAGUAGCGUGAAGGAUGACUGCCCUAUGGGUUGUAAACUUCUUUUAUAUGGGAAUAAAAUGUUCCACGUGUGGGAUUUUGUAUGUACCUUAUGAAUAAGGAUCGGCUAACUCCGUGCCAGCAGCCGCGGUAAUACGGAGGAUCCGAGCGUUAUCCGGAUUUAUUGGGUUUAAAGGGAGCGUAGGUGGAUUGUUAAGUCAGUUGUGAAAGUUUGUGGCUCAACCGUAAAAUUGCAGUUGAAACUGGCAGUCUUGAGUACAGUAGAGGUGGGCGGAAUUCGUGGUGUAGCGGUGAAAUGCUUAGAUAUCACGAAGAACUCCGAUUGCGAAGGCAGUUCACUGGACUGCAACUGACACUGAGGCUCGAAAGUGUGGGUAUCAAACAGGAUUAGAUACCCUUGUAGUC
Molecule: ribosomal RNA, 460 nt
Filed under: uncultured bacterium
Lineage: Bacteria
Description: partial 16S ribosomal RNA
Rfam family: Bacterial small subunit ribosomal RNA
Source: RNAcentral